RNAcentral lists this ribosomal RNA (505 nucleotides) under uncultured bacterium. Its description in RNAcentral is "partial 16S ribosomal RNA". It matches the Rfam family "Bacterial small subunit ribosomal RNA", at positions 28 to 507 of the family's 1533-position model. The record is from RNAcentral.
GACGAACGCUGGCGGCGUGCCUAAUACAUGCAAGUAGAACGCACAGUUGAUACCGUAGCUUGCUACACCAUAGACGGUGAGGUGCGAACGGGUGAGGAACGCGUAGGUAACCUGCCUGGUAGCGGGGGAUAACUAUUGGAAACGAUAGCUAAUACCGCAUAAUAUUAAUUAUUGCAUGAUAAUUAAUUGAAAGGUGCAAUUGCACCACUACCAGAUGGACCUGCGUUGUAUUAGCUAGUAGGUGAGGUAACGGCUCACCUAGGCGACGAUACAUAGCCGACCUGGGAGGGUGGUCCGCCCCACUGGGACUGAGACCCGGCCCAGGCUCCUACGGGGGGCAGCCGUAGGGGAUCUUCGGCCAUGGACGAAAGUCUGACCGGGCCACGCCGCGUGAGUGAAGAAGGUUCUCGGAUCGUAAAGCUCUGUUGUAAGGGAAGAACGGGUGUGAGAGUGGAAUGUUCACACUGUGACGGUAUCUUACCAGAAAGGGACGGCUAACUACGUG